UGGGGUGACUAAUGUUAUAGCUCUGGGCUUCAGUCAUUGUUGAUUCUACCAAGAGGCCUAGGUUGGAAGCCUCUAGAGUCUAGAUUGCUCCUAUUUUCUGUGACCAUGUGUGGAGAUGUGACUUAACCUUUGUAGCCUCUGGGGUUUUGUUUGUGGUCCUGAAGGCUGUUCCUUUAUGAGAACUUAAAGGCACGUGACUACACUUGAACAUUUUUUUCUUCCAGUUGGUCAGGUGCCUGGAGUUACUUCACACUAUUUAAGUAGUCUGCAUAAGGUAAACAAAAAAUAAGUCUAUUUUCUAAUUCUCUACCUUUGUACUUACAAAAUGUUGAGAACUAAUGUUAUAUGGUAGUAAAGUAAGUACAAGUUCAGUAAGUCAGGUAGUGAUUAACAAGUUCUAAAAGGGAGUAACAUUGUCAUUGUGGUGAAGUCCUAUGAGCUGUCUGGGGAGAAAGGAAAGGCAUGAACCAAAGGCACUGAGAGGAAAGGAAGGACCAGAUCUGUAGAAUCCAGUGGGAGAUGGCCACAUACUGCACUGCGUCUUGCCUUCUUAGGGUUGUAACUGUGGUAAAAGAUGAGGGGGCACUCAUUAAGUAACAACUCCUCAGAUGACUUUUGCUUGAUUUACAUGUUAUGAAUAUUCUGCUAAAUAUUGUUUUAAAUGCCUGGCUUCAAGAAGUUGUUGAUCUAUCUAGACAGUUCUUUUCUGCUUUAAUGGCAAAGUAUCAGCCAGUUUAUUUUCUGAUACUCCUGAUAGGCAUGCAGGCAGGCAUACUUGGCUCACCAGUAUAGUCUAUGCAGAUUUUCUGGUUCUUACAGUCAUAACUUUAUCAUUUGUUCAGCCUUUGAGUUAUGCUUGCUAUAAAAGUUGUUUGGAAUUAAAAGGGUUGUUUGUUGUUUGUUUGUUACAGGGUUUCUCUAUGUAGCCUUGGCUGUCCUAGAGCUAGCCCUGGAAACCAGGCUGGCUUCAGAGUUAUAGACAUUCACCUGACUCUGCCUUAGUGCUGAAAUUAAAGGCGUGUGCCAUCAUUCCCUGGCUGAAAGUUUUUGGUUUUGUUCUCACUUUUGAAAAAACUUGUUAAGGUUUCUUCUUCAGUUUGUACUUUUAGGAAAUAAAAUGUUUCUGUAAAUAAUAAAUGAUCUGGGCAUAUGAUAUUGUGAUAAAAUUUUGCUUUAGUCAGUAGAGAUGAACUGCUUAGCCAGAGUACGUUUUCCUGUUCACUUAUCUAUGUUGCAUUUGUACAUGAAAGGGAUUUAUUACAUAAGAGAAGAGAUUGUGAUAGAAAGUUAAAGGGACCCCUACCCUUUUUCCUGGGAGUUUACUGAGUUGUGUUUUAUGGAGUAGUCUUUUGAUAGAUCAGUAGCUCUAUUAUGAGUCUUUGGGGGUUGGGGAGUAGAGCAGGAUCUCAUGUCCAGGCUGACCUUGAAUUUUCUGUAUAGCUUAGGAUGACCUUAUAUUCCUGAUUUUUCUGCUGCUGAUUUAUAUUGCUGAUUUUUCCCAGGUGUUGGUUACAGGCAUAAGCCAGUUUUUUGUUUGUUUAUUUUGUUUUAAUGAUUGAUCCCAGGACCUCAUGCAUUCUGAGUGGAUGUUCUAUCACCAGACUUUAGUCCUUAGCCCCAGGUGAUCAUUUUUCUGCAGAGCUUGUCAGAGAAAAAUAGUGUACAUUAUGACCUUUUCCAGCGGCGCCAGAAUGGGCAGUAGUACUUCCCAACUUGCUGAUAAGGUUAUUUGGUCUUGAUGUCUCUUUCCCUGGGAAGACUGACAGAGACCUUAAAGUAGGUUCCAUCGGAAUAGGUUGUUAAAUGUUCUCUUAGCACACUUACUGGUUUAUUUUCAUAGCAUUUAUUUUUCUGUUAACUUUUUAUUAUUAUUAUUAUAUGUAAGUACACUGUAGCUGUCUUCAGACACACCAGAAGAGGGCGUCAGAUCUCGUUACGGAUGGUUGUGAGCCACCAUGUGGUUGCUGCGAUUUGAACUCCGGACCUUUGGAAGAGCAGUCGGGUACUCUUACCCACUGAGCCAUCUCACCAGCCCAACUUUUUUUUUUUUUUUUUUUUUAAAUAGCAGUCUUGCUUUGUUCUUCUACCUCACCUGGAAUUUGCCAGGUAGACCAGAUUGGUCUAGAACUUUUGGCCAGUUUUGUUUCUUGCUUCCUGAGUGUUGUGAUUACAGGUGUGUGCUACCAUACCCAGCUGGGAGGCGAUACCUUUUUAUAGAGUUAAAUUUGUUAUUUUAAAAUGGGUAUUUUAUCUGCAUAUAUGUGUAUGUAUCACAUGCAUACCUAGAGCCCAUGAAGGCCAGAAGGUGUCAGUCAGAUCAGCUAGAACCAAAGAUACAGAUGGUGUGAGCCACCAUGUAGAUGCUGGAAAUGGAAUCCUGGUCCUCUGGAAGAGUACUGUACCAUAUCUACAGUGCAUGAAGCAGUUUUUAAACCUUAUUGUGUGUGAUGUUUUCCAGUAUUCUAGAUUUGUUAAUGCCUGUUAUGAGCUAUUAGCGAUAACUCACCAUGCUAUUUAAGAUACUCUCUUAGGUAACACUGAUUUAUAGUCGCAGG
This 2555-nucleotide long non-coding RNA is filed under the name Mus musculus (house mouse). RNAcentral's name for it is "long non-coding RNA chr1:85799835-85802390". The record is from RNAcentral. Lineage: Eukaryota; Metazoa; Chordata; Mammalia; Rodentia; Muridae.